Molecule: transfer RNA, 72 nt
Filed under: Verrucomicrobiota bacterium
Lineage: Bacteria; Pseudomonadati; Verrucomicrobiota
Description: Verrucomicrobia bacterium (freshwater metagenome) tRNA-Asn
Rfam family: tRNA
About the family: Transfer RNA (tRNA) molecules are approximately 80 nucleotides in length. Their secondary structure includes four short double-helical elements and three loops (D, anti-codon, and T loops).
Source: RNAcentral
UCCUGAGUAGCUCAGCGGUAGAGCAAUCGGCUGUUAACCGAUCGGUCGUAGGUUCGAUCCCUACCUCAGGAG